RNAcentral lists this long non-coding RNA (2139 nucleotides) under Homo sapiens (human). RNAcentral's name for it is "non-protein coding FGF14-IT1:7". Lineage: Eukaryota; Metazoa; Chordata; Mammalia; Primates; Hominidae. The record is from RNAcentral.
ACUUGCUCUGGGGAAAGCCAGCUGCCAUCAGGUGGGGACACUAGAGGAGCCCCAGGGAGCUCCCAUAUGGCAAGGAACUGAGACCUGCUGCCAACACCCAGGACCAAUUUGCCAUCCAUGAGAGUGGGCCGUCUCGAAAGUGGGAGAAUGUGGUCAGUGUUUCAGCCAGUGCUUGCUGCUGAGGCAGGAGAGAAUAAUUGUGUAAAGAGGGGGCUCCCGCAGUGCAGGACAGGAAGCCACCAUGUGAGCACCACAUCCACGUGCAGGUCGCAGGCUUCAUCAUGUCCUGAAUACCAUGCCUUAGCAUUUUAUCUGUGAAGAUAAGCUAUCAAUUUACAUUGCCAAGGUGAAAUCCAACUGAACUCCUUUAAGAUAAAGAUCUUGAGUCCCAAAAGGAAUUUCCUAGUGGGCAAAUUGUGAGGGAGAUUUCAGGUUUCUACUUCUACAUCUCCAGCCCUGAAUACUCAUGGAAUAUCGCUGUACCUAUGACAGGUUGCAUGAUUUUUCCCCCUCUGUGCACUCAAUUUGUGUAUUAUUGUAUCAUAUGACAUUCUGAAUCAAGUGCUGCUAGUACCAAGCUGCUAUCAUCAGCUGAUGCCAAAAAUAUUCGUUAUAACACUUCUCAGCAUGCAAGUGAGAGCACUUCAAAUCACACAGACAGAAUUUCCAGCCAUUGUUCUUUUCUUCUUUGCUUAUUAUACAGCAACAAGAAUCAAAACAAAAGGGGAUUUAUUAGAAAAUAAUGCUUCAGUAAAAUGUUAUAAAACAUGAGGUUUAUUGUUUGUGAAGAUAGAGUGAAAUUCAGUACCACAUUAUAGAUACCACCUCAGAGGCCUAUUUUCCCCUUCUUUUCUCUUUUCUCAAAUGUUUUUCAAGUGGCAUCUUUUUUUCAGUCUUUGAUUACAUUAAGGUGCAAACUAUUUAUCCAUCUGGAAAUAAGCAAUACUGUCAACAGAGAACCAGGAAAUGAAAAGUGCAGCCGGCCAUAUGCCUUCUCUACGGCCUCUUUAUGUUACUGUGCUGAUCAGGACAAAUGCAGUACCUAUGGUAGCAAUAGGGAGAGUGAAAAUAUGUAUUCUCCAAGGGAAGACAAUUAAAAGACAAAUUCCAUCAGGAAGAUUUGUCAUUUUUUGAGAGUGCUGAUCCUGCAUCUAUCAGCAAAUUUCACAUAAAUUAAUUCAUUUUACAGAGUGAAUGCUGAAACUUGGAAGCCAACUGACAAGAUGCCAGGGAUGGCAUGGCAAGGAAGAGAGAGCCUUCAUGGCAAUUUUGAAUACCUGAUCUCUUGCUUUCAUCAUCUUGUCUAGGGGAAGAAACACGGAGCCUGGUAGUUGGGAGGUGAGAGGCAGGAAUGGAUACCAGAGAUGGACAGACAGUGGGGUGGUGAGAAGGGAGCUGCAAUUUGCUAAUCCUUGUAGUACUACCUGUCAAUCAUCUUGCUUUCCUUAAUCAUCGAUCCUGGAGAGACUUUGAGGAAAGGGCUGGUGGAGUUGCGCAGAUGUGAUCUUCAUUUCAGCCUUAUGAAUACAUACCAAGGUCUCUUUAAAUCUGUGGUUCCUGCACAAAGUGCUGUGACUUCAGGCUAAUAGAGAGGUCCAGAUGUCACAUGUGCCAAUUAGAAAGAAAUGAGGACCAUGGCUAUGGCCCACUGUGUUCAGAAGACACGCCCAAGCCACCCAUUGUCAUUCAUUGUGUCUAAUACUUGACCUGUCCUGCUGUUUAUUAUGUGGGGUGGCUCCAUAUUUUAAAAACUGUAUUCAUAAAAAGAUAUUUCUCAUCCUGCUGAGUCUCAGGCCCAUUGUUGUAGGUGAGGUGGUUUCUUUUGUUUGAUAUAUAACGUUUUGCUGACUUUCGACUUGGGAAUUGCAAAGGCUUACCCAAAACCCUGAAGGAAAAGCUAAGAAUUCAUACUUAUUAAGCACUUGGUAGGUGUCUGACACUGUAGUAGAUAUAUGCGAGAGCCCAGAACAAGCUGAUGUCCAUGUACAUAUCUUUAAAAAAUAUAAUGAUCUAGUCUUAUCUGUGGAAACUGCUUCAGAUACUGAUCUUACUCUUUCCUGUUACAUCAGAAAUUCUGGAAGGUAAUAUCCUGAAAGAUUUAUCCUCAAGAAUAACAAUACAUUAAAAUCUUCUGCUUUG